Molecule: ribosomal RNA, 118 nt
Filed under: Pteropus alecto (black flying fox)
Lineage: Eukaryota; Metazoa; Chordata; Mammalia; Chiroptera; Pteropodidae
Source: RNAcentral
GUCAAUGCCAUGCCACCCUCAAUGCGCCUAAUCUCGUCUGAUCUCAGAAGCUAAGCAAGGUUGGGCCUGGUUAGUACUUGAAUGGGAGACCACCUAGGAAUAUCGGGUGCUAUACACG